CAAACCAAAGCUGGCGACCGGCGCACGGGUGAGUAACACGUAUCCAACCUGCCUCAUACUCGGGGAUAGCCUUCCGAAAGAAAGAUUAAUAUCCGAUAGCAUAUAUUUCCCGCAUGGGUUUUAUAUUAAAGAAAUUCGGUAUGAGAUGGGGAUGCGUUCCAUUAGUUUGUUGGGGGGGUAACGGCCCACCAAGACUACGAUGGAUAGGGGUUCUGAGAGGAAGGUCCCCCACAUUGGAACUGAGACACGGUCCAA
Molecule: ribosomal RNA, 255 nt
Filed under: uncultured bacterium
Lineage: Bacteria
Description: partial 16S ribosomal RNA
Rfam family: Bacterial small subunit ribosomal RNA
Source: RNAcentral